RNAcentral lists this ribosomal RNA (511 nucleotides) under uncultured bacterium. Its description in RNAcentral is "partial 16S ribosomal RNA". It matches the Rfam family "Bacterial small subunit ribosomal RNA", at positions 28 to 523 of the family's 1533-position model. The record is from RNAcentral.
GACGAACGCUGGCGGCGUGCCUAAUACAUGCAAGUCGAGCGGAAGUUGGAGAGCUUGCUCUUCAACUUUAGCGGCGGACGGGUGAGUAACACGUGGGCAACCUGCCCUGCAGAUCGGGAUAACUCCGGGAAACCGGUGCUAAUACCGAAUAGUUUUCGCCACCUCCUGGUGGCGUACGGAAAGACGGUUUCGGCUGUCACUGCAGGAUGGGCCCGCGGCGCAUUAGCUAGUUGGUGGGGUAACGGCCCACCAAGGCGACGAUGAGUAGCCGACCUGAGAGGGUGAUCGGCCACACUGGGACUGGGACACGGCCCAGACUCCUACGGGAGGCAGCAGUAGGGAAUCUUCCGCAAUGGACGAAAGUCUGACGGAGCAACGCCGCGUGAGUGACGAAGGUUUUCGGAUCGUAAAACUCUGUUGUGAGGGAAGAACAAGUACCACUUAACUACUGGUACCUUGACGGUACCUCACCAGAAAGCCACGGCUAACUACGUGCCAGCAGCCGCCGCGG